AUUUGAGUGAGUGGCGGACGGGUGAGUAACACGUGGGUAACCUGCCCUAAAGUGGGGAUAACAUUUGGAAACAGAUGCUAAUACCGCAUAAAACCUAACACCGCAUGGUGUAGGGUUGAAAGAUGGUUUCGGCUAUCACUUUAGGAUGGACCCGCGGUGCAUUAGUUAGUUGGUGAGGUAAAGGCUCACCAAGACCGUGAUGCAUAGCCGACCUGAGAGGGUAAUCGGCCACACUGGGACUGAGACACGGCCCCAGACUCCUACGGGAGGCAGCAGUAGGGAAUCUUCCACAAUGGACGAAAGUCUGAUGGAGCAACGCCGCGUGAGUGAAGAAGGUUUUCGGAUCGUAAAACUCUGUUGUUGGAGAAGAAUGUAUCUGAUAGUAACUGAUCAGGUAGUGACGGUAUCCAACCAGAAAGCCACGGCUAACUACGUG
RNAcentral lists this ribosomal RNA (436 nucleotides) under uncultured bacterium. Its description in RNAcentral is "bacterial SSU rRNA". It matches the Rfam family "Bacterial small subunit ribosomal RNA", at positions 85 to 507 of the family's 1533-position model. The record is from RNAcentral.